Molecule: ribosomal RNA, 1421 nt
Filed under: metagenome
Description: bacterial SSU rRNA
Rfam family: Bacterial small subunit ribosomal RNA
Source: RNAcentral
CUGGCGGCAUGGCUAAAACAUGCAAGUCGAACGCGAACGGGGGCAACCCCUAGUAGAGUGGCGAAAGGGCGAGGAAUAAAUUCCUACGUGCCCUGAGGUCGGGGACACCUCGGAGAAAUCCGAAUCAAUACCCGAUGUGGUCCGAAAGGAUCAAAGGUUUACUGCCUCAGGAGCGGGGAAUUUCCUAUCAGGUAGUUGGUAGGGUAACGGCCUACCAAGCCUUAGACGGGUAGCGGGUGUGAGAGCACGGCCCGCCGCAUCGAGACUGAGACACUGCUCGGACUCCUACGGGAGGCUGCAGUAACGAAUCUUCCGCAAUGCGCGAAAGCGUGACGGGGCAAUGCCGCGUGCAGGAUGAAGCCCUUCGGGGUGUAAACUGCUGUCAGGGUGCAGGAACUCAAUGACCAUACCCAAAGGAAGCACCGGCUAACUCUGUGCCAGCAGCCGCGGUAAUACAGAGGGUGCGAGCGUUAAUCGGAAUCACUGGGCUUAAAGCGUUCGUAGGCGGAUCUGUAGGCGCGUUGUGAAAGCCCUCGGCUCAACCGGGGAACUGCUUCGCGAACCACAGAUCUUGAGUCAAGUAGGGGCGAUCGGAACGAUAGGUGGAGCGGUGAAAUGCGUAGAUAUCUAUCGGAACGCCGAAGGUGAAGACAGGUCGCUGGGCUUGUACUGACGCUGAGGAACGAAAGCGUGGGGAGCAAACGGGAUUAGAUACCCCGGUAGUCCACGCCGUAAACGAUGCGCACUAGGUCGGGGAGGUUUGACGCCCUCCUGGCCGCAGCAAAAGUGUUUAGUGCGCCGCCUGGGGAGUACGGUCGCAAGGCUAAAACUCAAAGGAAUUGACGGGGGCUCACACAAGCGGUGGAGCAUGUGGCUUAAUUCGACGCGAAGAACCUUAUCCUAGGCUUGACAUGCACGUAUCAACUUCCUGAAAGGGAAGCCACUCCCGCAAGGGCGGAACGUGCACAGGUGCUGCAUGGCUGUCGUCAGCUCGUGCUGUGAAGUGUCGGGUUAAGUCCCUCAACGAGCGAAACCCCUGUCGUUAGUUGCUAACGCGUAAUGGCGAGGACUCUAGCGAGACUGCCGGUGUCAAACCGGAGGAAGGUGGGGAUGACGUCAAGUCCUCAUGGCCCUUAUGCCUAGGGCUGCACACGUGCUACAAUGGCGGAUACAGAACGAUGCAAGACCGCAAGGUGGAGCAAAUCGCAUAAAGUCCGCCCCAGUUCGGAUUGGAGGCUGCAACCCGCCUCCAUGAAGUCGGAAUCGCUAGUAAUCGCGGAUCAGCUACGCCGCGGUGAAUAUGUUCCUGAGCCUUGUACACACCGCCCGUCAACUCAUGGGAGCUGGCAGUGCCCGAAGUCGCCUCAUUUCAGGGGUGCCCACGGCAAGGCUGGUGACUGGGACUAAGUCGUAACAAGGUA